This is a small nucleolar RNA of Hucho hucho (huchen), 130 nucleotides long. Lineage: Eukaryota; Metazoa; Chordata; Actinopteri; Salmoniformes; Salmonidae. The record is from Ensembl.
UCUCCCUGUCUAACACCGGGACCUCUUGAUUCAGUGCAGUGUUCUGGCACUAUAAGGGGACAGAGUACUACGCUCUCUUCCCUCCCUACUGGAUGCUGUUCCUCCUAGGGCCUUAAGAGAAGCACACAGU